RNAcentral lists this ribosomal RNA (688 nucleotides) under Curtobacterium flaccumfaciens. Its description in RNAcentral is "bacterial SSU rRNA". It matches the Rfam family "Bacterial small subunit ribosomal RNA", at positions 24 to 724 of the family's 1533-position model. Lineage: Bacteria; Bacillati; Actinomycetota; Actinomycetes; Micrococcales; Microbacteriaceae. The record is from RNAcentral.
UCAGGACGAACGCUGGCGGCGUGCUUAACACAUGCAAGUCGAACGAUGAUGCCCAGCUUGCUGGGUGGAUUAGUGGCGAACGGGUGAGUAACACGUGAGUAACCUGCCCCUGACUCUGGGAUAAGCGUUGGAAACGACGUCUAAUACUGGAUAUGAUCACUGGCCGCAUGGUCUGGUGGUGGAAAGAUUUUUUGGUUGGGGAUGGACUCGCGGCCUAUCAGCUUGUUGGUGAGGUAAUGGCUCACCAAGGCGACGACGGGUAGCCGGCCUGAGAGGGUGACCGGCCACACUGGGACUGAGACACGGCCCAGACUCCUACGGGAGGCAGCAGUGGGGAAUAUUGCACAAUGGGCGAAAGCCUGAUGCAGCAACGCCGCGUGAGGGAUGACGGCCUUCGGGUUGUAAACCUCUUUUAGUAGGGAAGAAGCGAAAGUGACGGUACCUGCAGAAAAAGCACCGGCUAACUACGUGCCAGCAGCCGCGGUAAUACGUAGGGUGCAAGCGUUGUCCGGAAUUAUUGGGCGUAAAGAGCUCGUAGGCGGUUUGUCGCGUCUGCUGUGAAAUCCCGAGGCUCAACCUCGGGCUUGCAGUGGGUACGGGCAGACUAGAGUGCGGUAGGGGAGAUUGGAAUUCCUGGUGUAGCGGUGGAAUGCGCAGAUAUCAGGAGGAACACCGAUGGCGAAGGCAG